AGCGCAGGCGGGAAGACAAGUUGGAAGUGAAAUCCAUGGGCUCAACCCACGAACUGCUUUCAAAACUGUUUUUCUUGAGUAGUGCAGAGGUAGGCGGAAUUCCCGGUGUAGCGGUGGAAUGCGUAGAUAUCGGGAGGAACACCAGUGGCGAAGGCGGCCUACUGGGCACCAACUGACGCUGAGGCUCGAAAGUGUGGGUAGCAAACA
RNAcentral lists this ribosomal RNA (207 nucleotides) under uncultured bacterium. Its description in RNAcentral is "partial 16S ribosomal RNA". It matches the Rfam family "Bacterial small subunit ribosomal RNA", at positions 568 to 774 of the family's 1533-position model. The record is from RNAcentral.